UGGGGAAUUUUGCGCAAUGGGCGAAAGCCUGACGCAGCAACGCCGCGUGUGUGAUGAAGGUCUUCGGAUUGUAAAGCACUUUCGACCGGGACGAAAACCCGUAGCCCAACACGCUACGGCUUGACGGUACCGGGAGAAGAAGCACCGGCUAACUACGU
This 158-nucleotide ribosomal RNA is filed under the name uncultured Myxococcus sp. RNAcentral describes it as "partial 16S ribosomal RNA". It matches the Rfam family "Bacterial small subunit ribosomal RNA", at positions 355 to 506 of the family's 1533-position model. The record is from RNAcentral. Lineage: Bacteria; Pseudomonadati; Myxococcota; Myxococcia; Myxococcales; Myxococcaceae.